Schistocerca serialis cubense is the source of this 383-nucleotide long non-coding RNA. RefSeq lists it as uncharacterized. Lineage: Eukaryota; Metazoa; Arthropoda; Insecta; Orthoptera; Acrididae. The transcript has 3 exons. The record is from RefSeq and is a predicted model, not a curated record.
GUGGCGGCACUGUUAAAUGUCGUGGCACUGUUACAACAGAGAGUCAUCAUCAGAUGUAGAGAGCAUUACACAAGUGGAGUGAUGGAAAUCCAGGCUGGAUUGAGAGCUAUUUAUUAAGUUUGUUACAAUCGGGAGGUUUGAUAAUUCGAAAUCUCCCAGAGGAAGAAUGUGCUGAAAUGGGACUAAUUUGGGCUCCACAGAAUAUGAUAUCACAUUUUGGAGACAGAAAAUCCAGUAAGGAGAUGUCUAAUGAACCAUAUAAAAUGGGAUGGAAAGAACAAACACUUCGUUACCAGCCAAAAUAUGCACUCAUUAUUAAAGAGAAAACUACAUCUGUCAAGGAAAAAUACAUAAAACUUAUUUCUGUGUGUGUGUUAACGCCA